UACGUAGGGUGCGAGCGUUGUCCGGAAUUAUUGGGCGUAAAGGGCUCGUAGGCGGUUUGUCGCGUCGGGAGUGAAAACCUCGGGCUUAACUCGGGGCUUGCGGUCGAUACGGGCAUCACUGGAGUUCGGCAGGGGAGACUGGAAUUCCUGGUGUAGCGGUGAAAUGCGCAGAUAUCAGGAGGAACACCGGUGGCGAAGGCGGGUCUCUGGGCCGAUACUGACGCUGAGGAGCGAAAGCGUGGGGAGCGAACAGG
RNAcentral lists this ribosomal RNA (254 nucleotides) under uncultured bacterium. RNAcentral describes it as "partial 16S ribosomal RNA". It matches the Rfam family "Bacterial small subunit ribosomal RNA", at positions 524 to 776 of the family's 1533-position model. The record is from RNAcentral.